GGAUGUGAGGGCGAUCUGGCUGCGACAUCUGCCACCCCAUUGAUCGCCAGGGUUGAUUCGGCUGAUCUGGCUGGCUAGGCGGGUGUCCCCCUCCUCCCUCACCGAUCCAUGUGCGUCCCUCCCGAAGCUGCGCACUCGAAGAGGACAACCUUCCCCCCAGGGGAGAAGACCGGUCUUCGGUCAACGGUAUACGAGUAGCUGCGCUCCCCUGCUAGAACCUCCAAAAAAUACUGUGGCCCUGCUGGUGUUUCUCAGUGGUUAAGAGUGUUGGCCCUCCCACCACAGGGUCGUGGGU
Molecule: unclassified non-coding RNA, 295 nt
Organism: Myotis lucifugus (little brown bat)
Lineage: Eukaryota; Metazoa; Chordata; Mammalia; Chiroptera; Vespertilionidae
Gene: 7SK
Rfam family: 7SK RNA
About the family: 7SK was discovered as an abundant small nuclear RNA in the mid-70s but a possible function has only recently been suggested. Two independent studies have found that 7SK RNA binds the CDK9/cyclin T complex (known as elongation factor P-TEFb).
Source: Ensembl